GACUUUGCGUCUACAGCCGAAACGCUACGCGUGAGGCUGACGGCUGGUGGCUUUGGCCACCGGCCU
Molecule: small RNA, 66 nt
Filed under: Stutzerimonas balearica DSM 6083
Lineage: Bacteria; Pseudomonadati; Pseudomonadota; Gammaproteobacteria; Pseudomonadales; Pseudomonadaceae
Description: Pseudomonas balearica DSM 6083 Pseudomonas sRNA P26
Rfam family: Pseudomonas sRNA P26
About the family: P26 is conserved across many Gammaproteobacteria species and appears to be consistently located between the DNA directed RNA polymerase (beta subunit) and 50S ribosomal protein L7/L12 genes.
Source: RNAcentral